This 465-nucleotide ribosomal RNA is filed under the name Vreelandella stevensii. RNAcentral's name for it is "partial 16S ribosomal RNA". It matches the Rfam family "Bacterial small subunit ribosomal RNA", at positions 338 to 795 of the family's 1533-position model. The record is from RNAcentral. Lineage: Bacteria; Pseudomonadati; Pseudomonadota; Gammaproteobacteria; Oceanospirillales; Halomonadaceae.
CCUACGGGGGGCUGCAGUGGGGAAUAUUGGACAAUGGGCGAAAGCCUGAUCCAGCCAUGCCGCGUGUGUGAAGAAGGCCUUCGGGUUGUAAAGCACUUUCAGUGGGGAAGAAAGCCUUGGGGCUAAUACCCUCGAGGAAGGACAUCACCCACAGAAGAAGCACCGGCUAACUCCGUGCCAGCAGCCGCGGUAAUACGGAGGGUGCGAGCGUUAAUCGGAAUUACUGGGCGUAAAGCGCGCGUAGGCGGUCUGAUAAGCCGGUUGUGAAAGCCCCGGGCUCAACCUGGGAACGGCAUCCGGAACUGUCAGGCUAGAGUGCAGGGGAGGAAGGUAGAAUUCCCGGUGUAGCGGUGAAAUGCGUAGAGAUCGGGAGGAAUACCAGUGGCGAAGGCGGCCUUCUGGACUGACACUGACGCUGAGGUGCGAAAGCGUGGGUAGCAAACAGGAUUAGAUACCCUGGUAGUC